CCUACGGGAGGCAGCAGUGGGGAAUAUUGCACAAUGGGGGAAACCCUGAUGCAGCGACGCCGCGUGAGUGAAGAAGUAUUUCGGUAUGUAAAGCUCUAUCAGCAGGCACGAGCCAAGACGGUACCUGACUAAGAAGCCCCGGCUAACUACGGGCCAGCAGCCGCGGUAAUACGUAGGGGGCAAGCGUUAUCCGGAAUCACUGGGUGUAAAGGGAGCGUAGACGGCUGAGCAAGCCUGAAGUGAAAGGCGGGGGCCCAACCCCCGUACUGCUUUGGGAACUGUACGGCUGGAGUGCAGGAGAGGUAAGUGGAACUCCAUGUGUAGCGGUGAAAUGCGUAGAGAUAUGGAAGAACACCAGUGGCGAAAGCGGCUCUCUGGUCUGUAACUGACGCUGAGGUUCGAAAGCGUGGGUAGCAAACAGGAUUAGAUACCCGUGUAGUC
RNAcentral lists this ribosomal RNA (441 nucleotides) under uncultured bacterium. RNAcentral describes it as "partial 16S ribosomal RNA". It matches the Rfam family "Bacterial small subunit ribosomal RNA", at positions 338 to 795 of the family's 1533-position model. The record is from RNAcentral.